This 69-nucleotide transfer RNA is filed under the name Rhinella marina (marine toad). Its description in RNAcentral is "tRNA-Ala". It matches the Rfam family "tRNA". From Rfam's summary of the family: Transfer RNA (tRNA) molecules are approximately 80 nucleotides in length. Their secondary structure includes four short double-helical elements and three loops (D, anti-codon, and T loops). Lineage: Eukaryota; Metazoa; Chordata; Amphibia; Anura; Bufonidae. The record is from RNAcentral.
AAGGCUUUAGCUUAAUAAAAGUAUCUGAUUUGCAUUCAGAAGAUGCAGGAUAAUGUCCUGCAAGUCUUA